UACGAAGGGGGCUAGCGUUGUUCGGAAUCACUGGGCGUAAAGGGCGCGUAGGCGGCCGCUCAAGUCGGGGGUGAAAGCCUGUGGCUUAACCACAGAAUUGCCUUCGAUACUGUUUGGCUUGAGACCGGAAGAGGUGAGUGGAACUGCGAGUGUAGAGGUGAAAUUCGUAGAUAUUCGCAAGAACACCAGUGGCGAAGGCGGCUCACUGGUCCGGUUCUGACGCUGAGGCGCGAAAGCUAGGGGAGCAAACGGG
RNAcentral lists this ribosomal RNA (253 nucleotides) under uncultured bacterium. Its description in RNAcentral is "partial 16S ribosomal RNA". It matches the Rfam family "Bacterial small subunit ribosomal RNA", at positions 524 to 776 of the family's 1533-position model. The record is from RNAcentral.